Molecule: long non-coding RNA, 1512 nt
Organism: Anolis carolinensis (green anole)
Lineage: Eukaryota; Metazoa; Chordata; Lepidosauria; Squamata; Anolidae
Exons: 2
Source: RefSeq, a predicted model, not a curated record
GGAUUGCUAUUAUUAUUAAUAAUUAUCUUUUAAAAGUAUUUUCUGAAGGAGAGAAGGGGAGGAGAAAAAGAAGCUAAAAGGGUGACUCUCCAAACGCAUGCACACAUCCCACUCACCCGUCUACAUGUUCCCAGCUCUCAAGAAAAUAAAGGAAAAUCAAAAAGAAUCAAGAGAGAGGCCAAGCCCGAAGCAAAGCCAAAAAAUACAUUGAAGCUAGGAUGCAACUGUGAUGCUGAAUAGGGGAGGAGCCGUGAUCGGCUGUCACAUGGUCCCAUUGCAGAUGGGAAAACAUGAUGGCUGGGCCCUUGCCGUUACAUCCAUCUGGCCAGAUUGGCCAAAAGGUACUGACCACUCCGAAUCUGUGCACAUAUCUAAAGAUUACAACAUCAGUCUUUAUAUAUCAUUUAAAAAAUGUAAUAAGCAAGCACACAUCUAAAUAAUACUUUGUUAUGGUUGAGCCUUAUGGCUCCGAUACUGGGAGAUGAGGUUGUAAGACUCCUCGGGAGUCAGACUCUCUUGAGGAGCGAGAAAGGAAACGGCUCGGGGACUUAUUUGCAGAACCAACAGACAAAGACUCCUUUGAGGGUUUUACCGAGAGAAUGGAGGAAGAGAUGGUCAGAGGACAGGAUGACAUGGAAUGGACUCGUGUGAGGGAGGAUUUGGGUGUCACCGGCAAUGAUAGUGUGGGAGGCGAUUGGCGGGUUGCAGGAUCGGACCCGUGGACGGGCUGGAGGGAUGGAACGGGAUCCACAGCUGGGGAUGCUGUGGGGCGUAGUCAAAGGUGUUUUAGCUCUGAUGAGGAUGAUGAUGAGGAGGCACCUGGAAUUAGGAUAGCAGCUGACAGCGAUGAGGAGUUAUGAACUGGCAUAAAAUGGGGUCUAGAAUCAAUGGCUAAUUGCGUUGGGCAAGGUAAUCUGGACGAACGCUUGGGCUCUUGUUGGGAAAUUCCUGAAGACGGGUGUGAUUCGUUUGCUGAAUACCUUGGACCUCCGUCGUCUUUUUGACGGACAUUAAUUGCCUACUCUGGAUUGACGCUGGACUGACUGACUGACUACGAUCCCGGACUUCCCUUCUGUGGCUAUCGGUGGAACUUGUGAACUAAAGACAUCUGUACCUGGCUUUCGACCUCGGACCGGAUUGGGACCCUGCUGACCGUUACUACCCUGAUUGAUGCGCCUGGCUCCGGAUUUCGCUCGUUGCAUGGAGGAGUAACAACCUUAGUUACUCAAUUGUAGCUUUUGAGUAGCAGAGAGGAAUCUGCUGCCAGUUAUUUGUGUUUCAUUGAACCUUUGUUUAUCAACUUUUGUUUGUUUAAAUUGCCAGGCUGAAGUAAGCAUUUUUGGUUUAACCCGGAUUAAACUUCUGUUUAAUCCGGUUUAUCUUUUGAACCACUUUUAGUACCAGCGGAGUCUUUUUUGUAUCUUUUCACAUUGAAGGCAAGUGUUUGCCUAGUCCUUUGUUUCUUACGGGCAUUUUUAGUGCUGUUACUUUAAUAAACUGUGUUGAACUUUA